RNAcentral lists this small RNA (1086 nucleotides) under Histoplasma capsulatum var. duboisii H88. RNAcentral's name for it is "Histoplasma capsulatum H88 hypothetical RNA". The record is from RNAcentral. Lineage: Eukaryota; Fungi; Ascomycota; Eurotiomycetes; Onygenales; Ajellomycetaceae.
UUGCAUUUCCCAAUACCAAUGGACUUUUGUGCCCAUUAUAAAUGCUCCAGCUUCUCACGAACUAACUCACUAACUAACUUACAAGUUAACAAUUGUGUUACAUAAUCGUGACAUGCGUUGCUUGGCGCCGGGCUGGAGCAAAUGAAAAUUUCUGACAGGGGCAUGCCAACCAGAUUGUCCUUCCACCAUAGCGCGUCGUCCAGAGGAAUCAGAGAACCGUCCUGGGGAUUUUGGCUAAAUUGUCUGCAGAGUCUCCCUUGAUUCAGAAAAGCUUGUUGUUGUUUUUGUUUUUGUCGCUGUUUGUCCUCUUCAAUAAUACGGUUACCGCUCUCUCUCUACUGCAGGUACAGCCGUGUUGUACAGAACUUAAAGAAGGCACUUAAUCGCAAAUAAAACCAAAACAAGUGCUCCUUUGGGCGAUUCGCCCAGCAGCACGUGAGUCCAAAAAAAAAGGAAAAGAAAAUUAUACGAGGCGAAAGAAAAUUACACACAGAACGCAUAGAUUACAGGGAUGGAUGAUUGGAAAAGGGCGUGGUACGAGAGCCAUUGCUUCACAACCCAGUCUACCUGUCUAGAUGACUCCGUAAGCGAUGCCGGAUUAUGAUUCAGACAAUUCAAAGAGAACCACAGGUGCCAGCAGUCAAGUAUAGAUUUAAUUCCUAAAAAAAAAAGAGAAGAAGUAAAGAAGAAAAAAAAGGCAGAAACUGAAAAACUUAACAGCAACAACAACCACACCAAUACAAUGAGCACAAAGGGAAAAGCGGCAAAAAAAAAACAAAAAAAAGGAAAGAAAAAAGAAAAAAAUGCCUCGUCAUUGCAGGCGCAAAUCACCAAUCAUUGAAAUCAUCAGGCUGGGCUGAUGUGUGCAUCGUAAGACAACAAGAAACAAAAAACAGGGGGCAAAAAGCAAACAUAUCAUUAGCUUGCGUGUUCGCAGCAGCUUCCAAGAACCUGCGACGGCUGAUUCGACGAGAUCCCUUGUCCCUUGCAUUGUGGUGCAGCCACUGAAAUACGAUGGGAUGGUCGGUGACGGUUGCCCAGCAGCCGCCGGGCUAAGGAACCCAGAGGGAAUACGGGCCCAUUACC